GAGGCCCACACUCGAGCAGUAGAAGAACAAGCUCUACACGAAGUAGCAAACCUAGAAGUUCAGUAUCUGAAUAUGAGGAACCAUCAAAGCCUUCAAGUUUUAAACAGGAACCAGAACCUACCGAGUCCAGAGAUCAUCUGAAAAAGUUUUCAUCCAGAAGAAAACGCACACAAGAACCAAGUAGAUCAAUCGACCACUCGACUCAAGAUUCAGGACAUGGUAAUAG
This 226-nucleotide unclassified non-coding RNA is filed under the name Hevea brasiliensis (rubber tree). Lineage: Eukaryota; Viridiplantae; Streptophyta; Magnoliopsida; Malpighiales; Euphorbiaceae. The record is from RNAcentral.